GACGAACGCUGGCGGCGUGCUUAACACAUGCAAGUCGAACGGAAAGGCCCUGCUUUUGUGGGGUGCUCGAGUGGCGAACGGGUGAGUAACACGUGAGUAACCUGCCCUUGACUUUGGGAUAACUUCAGGAAACUGGGGCUAAUACCGGAUAGGAGCUCCUGCUGCAUGGUGGGGGUUGGAAAGUUUCGGCGGUUGGGGAUGGACUCGCGGCUUAUCAGCUUGUUGGUGGGGUAGUGGCUUACCAAGGCUUUGACGGGUAGCCGGCCUGAGAGGGUGACCGGCCACACUGGGACUGAGAUGCGGCCCAGACUCCUACGGGAGGCAGCAGUGGGGAAUAUUGCACAAUGGGCGGAAGCCUGAUGCAGCAACGCCGCGUGCGGGAUGACGGCCUUCGGGUUGUAAACCGCUUUCGCCUGUGACGAAGCGUGAGUGACGGUAAUGGGUGAAGAAGCACCGGCUAACUACGUG
This 468-nucleotide ribosomal RNA is filed under the name uncultured bacterium. RNAcentral's name for it is "partial 16S ribosomal RNA". It matches the Rfam family "Bacterial small subunit ribosomal RNA", at positions 28 to 507 of the family's 1533-position model. The record is from RNAcentral.